CCUACGGGAGGCUGCAGUGGGGAAUAUUGGACAAUGGGCGAAAGCCUGAUCCAGCCAUGCCGCGUGUGUGAAGAAGGCCUUCGGGUUGUAAAGCACUUUCAGUGGGGAAGAAAGCCUUGGGGCUAAUACCCUCGAGGAAGGACAUCACCCACAGAAGAAGCACCGGCAAACUCCGUGCCAGCAGCCGCGGUAAUACGGAGGGUGCGAGCGUUAAUCGGAAUUACUGGGCGUAAAGCGCGCGUAGGCGGUCUGAUAAGCCGGUUGUGAAAGCCCCGGGCUCAACCUGGGAACGGCAUCCGGAACUGUCAGGCUAGAGUGCAGGAGAGGAAGGUAGAAUUCCCGGUGUAGCGGUGAAAUGCGUAGAGAUCGGGAGGAAUACCAGUGGCGAAGGCGGCCUUCUGGACUGACACUGACGCUGAGGUGCGAAAGCGUGGGUAGCAGACAGGAUUAGAUACCCGAGUAGUC
This 465-nucleotide ribosomal RNA is filed under the name Vreelandella stevensii. Its description in RNAcentral is "partial 16S ribosomal RNA". It matches the Rfam family "Bacterial small subunit ribosomal RNA", at positions 338 to 795 of the family's 1533-position model. Lineage: Bacteria; Pseudomonadati; Pseudomonadota; Gammaproteobacteria; Oceanospirillales; Halomonadaceae. The record is from RNAcentral.